This 75-nucleotide transfer RNA is filed under the name Draconibacterium sp. RNAcentral describes it as "tRNA-Val". It matches the Rfam family "tRNA". From Rfam's summary of the family: Transfer RNA (tRNA) molecules are approximately 80 nucleotides in length. The record is from RNAcentral. Lineage: Bacteria; Pseudomonadati; Bacteroidota; Bacteroidia; Marinilabiliales; Prolixibacteraceae. RNAcentral also lists the same sequence under 2 other names.
GGGACAUUAACUCAGUUGGUUUAGAGUGUUACCUUGACAGGGUAGAAGUCACUGGUUCGAAUCCAGUAUGUCCCA